GGUGCAAAUGAAUGUCUGCAUGCACACCUUGCACUGGAUAUUCAUAGCCUUCUUGUUAGCCUCAAGCUGGCUUCCCUUUUGGCCUUUCAUCUUUUCCAUAUUCUUCUCACGAGCCAUCUUUGCCUUCUGUCCAUUGCCUCCACCCAUGGCUUAGUUUGUUCUUCGAUAUUUCCUGUACAAAUUGGAGGAAAAAAUUGGGUUUU
This 203-nucleotide unclassified non-coding RNA is filed under the name Hevea brasiliensis (rubber tree). Lineage: Eukaryota; Viridiplantae; Streptophyta; Magnoliopsida; Malpighiales; Euphorbiaceae. The record is from RNAcentral.